This 727-nucleotide unclassified non-coding RNA is filed under the name Holarrhena pubescens. RNAcentral's name for it is "partial contains small subunit ribosomal RNA, internal transcribed spacer 1, 5.8S ribosomal RNA, internal transcribed spacer 2, and large subunit ribosomal RNA". The stretch from base 295 to 450 matches the Rfam family "5.8S ribosomal RNA". The record is from RNAcentral. Lineage: Eukaryota; Viridiplantae; Streptophyta; Magnoliopsida; Gentianales; Apocynaceae.
AUUUAGAGGAAGGAGAAGUCGUAACAAGGUUUCCGUAGGUGAACCUGCGGAAGGAUCAUUGUCGGAGCCUACCGAAAAAAAGACUUGCGAACGCGUUCAUCAUCGGGCGUCGGGGUGAUUCCCGCGCGCGUGCCCCGCCGGCCGGUCGGUGCCUUCCCGGCUCCCGACUGUGCCAGACAACCAAAAACCAGCGCGGAAAGCGCCAAGGACUAGAAAACAGAAUGCCUUCCUCCUGCUCGGCCGGCCGUUCGCGGCGCGGGUCGCGGGAGAGAAGGCUUCGUUCGAAUCUAAAACGACUCUCGGCAACGGAUAUCUAGGCUCUCGCAUCGAUGAAGAACGUAGCAAACUGCGAUACUUGGUGUGAAUUGCAGAAUCCCGUGAACCAUCGAGUUUUUGAACGCAAGUUGCGCCCGAAGCCAUUAGGCCGAGGGCACGCCUGCCUGGGCGUCACGCAUCGCGUCGCCCCCCGCACGCCUCGCCCCGAACGGGACGACGGUCGCGCACGGGGGCGGAAAAUGGCCUCCCGUACUCUGCUUGCGGUUGGCCCAAACCCGAGUCCCUCUCGUCGCGGACGUCACGACAAGUGGUAGCGGAAACCUCGAACUCGAACGCGAGUCGUGCGCACCUCGUGGCCGAGGAGACCCUUAGACCCUACGCUGAGUCCCUCUCCGGGGACGCUCGCAACGACUGCGACCCCAGGUCAGGCGGGGCCACCCGCCGAGUUUAA